GGUCGAACCGGUUGAAUCUAUGAACCAGUGAACCAGUAACUAGAACAGUUCGAUGACCGGUUCAGUUUUCAGAACCUUGGGUGACACAGAGAGAAAG
Arachis ipaensis is the source of this 97-nucleotide non-coding RNA. NCBI's taxonomy places the organism in Eukaryota, Viridiplantae, Streptophyta, Magnoliopsida, Fabales, Fabaceae. The record is from RefSeq and is a predicted model, not a curated record.